CUGAAGGUGAGGAGUUGGGCGCCAACCAGAAUAACCAGGUAAUUUCUUAGGCACAGAAGUCUUCUUUGAAAAACUUUGUAUAUUAUUGAAGGAUGGCAGAAGCAGUUUUGAUUGAUCUUUUGUUUUGAAAUUGACCUGUCAGGAAAACUGCCAUGAGACAUUGAAGACAUUGAAUGCCAUCCAAUACCACCUUGCUGCCAAGGCCAAGUUCCUUUGCAUAAUGGGUUGCAAGUAACAUGAGGUAUGAAAGGGUUGGUAAACAAGAUAAUUGUGAACUGGAAACAAGCAAUGGAUUAUUAGCUCUCUUGAGAGAACUUGAGACUGUUAGUAAUCCCAGCAUGGCUGCUUCUUUGUAUACCAUUAAACAAAAAAUAGAUGAAAAAAAUCUAAGCGGCAUUAAGGUAAUUGUACCUGCACACAGGAAAACCUUAAUGAAGGCUUUUAUUGAUCGUCUCUUCACUGAGGUUUACAAUUUUGAGUUUGAAGAUUUACAGGUGACUUUGAGGGAUGGCCUUUUGAAACAGUCCACUGAGAUAAACACAAUCACAGCUCAUAAACUAGAAGAAAUCCAGAGUGAAAUAGAAACAUAUUUGAGAAGUCUGCCAGCCAGCACUGAAAGGAGAAUUAACUAUUAUCACAUCUCCUUUGAUCCCAGUAGUU
RNAcentral lists this long non-coding RNA (660 nucleotides) under Ictidomys tridecemlineatus (thirteen-lined ground squirrel). RNAcentral describes it as "lncRNA (ENSSTOG00000034557.1)". Lineage: Eukaryota; Metazoa; Chordata; Mammalia; Rodentia; Sciuridae. The record is from RNAcentral.